AUUAUAAAGAAAAAAAAUUGGUAAAUUGAUUUAUAUGCUGCUUUAAAAGUUUUAUUUUAUUUUACAUCUCUUAUAUCACUUCAUGAUUACACCCAAAUUGUCUUUUUCGAAAAAAGAUUGGCAAAUGUUUUUGGUCAUUUUUAAAACCGUUUUAGGUUCAUUGGAUGUAAUGCAAGAAUGAUUAUCUUCAUUGACAAUUUUAUAAAGAUGACGUAUUGAACAUUUCUGUUCAGUGGCGGAUCCAGCCAUUUUAAAAAGGGGGGGUUCCCAACCCAGAGUAAAGGGGGGGUUCCAACUAUAUGCUCCCAUUCAAAUGCAUUGAUCGGCGAAAAAAAAGGGGGGGUUCCAACCCCCGGAAACUCCCCCCCUGGAUCCGCCACUGCUGUUGAUAUGUCAUGUUAAUGUCCUGUUACAGUAAGAAUCACUUAGUCAAAAUUGUGAAAUAUUAAAAGCGAAAAAAUGAGAAAGAGAUUGAAAAGGUUGUAUUGAUUGAAAUCAAGUUAAAAAUCAUUUUCCUAGCUUUUUGUCAUAUAGAUUAUGAUUUUCUUUUCUGUCAAAAAAUGGCAAAUGCAGUUGUUUUAAUUUAUUUGUAAUCACAUUUUUCCAUGUUACGUGAUGUCUUGGGUCCAAAUAAAAUAUAGACUGAUGAAAUUUAUAUAUUUGUAUGUAUAUUAUAAGUAAUUUUUUUGACAAAUCAUGUUUAAAAAUGCUUUUGCAAGCUUUAUGUCCCUCCAAUUGUACACUGCAUUAAACAUUGAGUAAUAGAUGUAAAAACAGUUUUGACCUAUAAUGUUGAAUAUAAAGGUCAUUUUAUUCCAUUUUGUUCAAAGAAUAUGCUCCAUGUUUUAUUCAAACAAUGAAAACAUAUCUGCUUCAGUUAUUUUAAUUUUGUCCACCUUUCAAUUCAAACUCAUUGGUUGUACAGCUUCAUCCUAAUGAACUAUCAUAAGCACAUGUUGCAAAACAUAUAUAUACUGACUUUCAAUUCACAAUUUGAACCAACAUUUUCAACAAAGCAAAUCAAAACUCAUGCAGUGAUACCAAAUUGAACAUAGAUUAUUUAAAAAAAAAAAUGCAUUUAUCAUAUUUAUAUCAACAACUUAUAUUCCUGCUUUCAGCCUUCACUAUAAAGUUAAUCUAGAAAAGAGCUUCGGAUGCAUUAAAUUUAUCAAGUGUUGCUUUUAUAUUUUUCAGAACUUUAUAUUAAACGGCUAUAUUUCAUUCUUUCUAGAGAACAAAAUGAUUGACACUUUAAUUGUUCUGAUUGUUCUUUUAUAAA
Molecule: long non-coding RNA, 1279 nt
Filed under: Mytilus galloprovincialis (Mediterranean mussel)
Lineage: Eukaryota; Metazoa; Mollusca; Bivalvia; Mytilida; Mytilidae
Source: RNAcentral